Molecule: long non-coding RNA, 1967 nt
Filed under: Olea europaea (common olive)
Lineage: Eukaryota; Viridiplantae; Streptophyta; Magnoliopsida; Lamiales; Oleaceae
Description: long non-coding RNA (OEUR_LNC006276)
Source: RNAcentral
UUCUAAUUCAGUGAUCUCAAAACCUUUCUACUGACGUGCAUUUUUUGUUAGUUUCCAAUUAUUUAACAUACAUUUACCAUUUGAAAAGCUCAAGAAAAGAGGGAAUCUUGGGGGAGGAGAGGAGUGAGAGGGAAGUGAGAGAGAGCAGCCAUUGUUGUUGAAUUGCAGCUCAAGAAAAUUCCGGCGUCUACUCCCACGGUUGCUUCCCUAAAUCUCUCAUUUCACUAUUUAUUAUUAUUAUUAUUAUUAUUUUUCACUUCAUUCCACAGAACUCUUGUAAACAUUGAUUUAUACAGAUCACAAAGUAAAACUGCAAUUGAGAAUUCAAUAAAGACACUAUCAAGAAACCAUAAACUCUAGCAAGCAACAACUGAAAAUACAGCAAUCAUAGAGGCAGUAAUUUCAAUUUUUAUCAGAACAACUGUGGUGGAAAGAAAAUGAUGAAGCCAGGAAUUUAAAUGAUGCACAGGAAAAAAAUGAAUCAAAUCCAGUUGCCCACAUUGUCGGCCCCCCCCAAGUUCCAAAAUGUCAGAUUUCCUCUUCCAGCUUGUCUCCUCUUCUAGCAUCCUUGGAAUAUUUGCAUCAAACUGCCACUUCAGUAGCCACGGUCACCACUACCAUAUCCACCACGACUACCGCCUCCAUAGCCACGGUCACCGGCAUAACCUCCAUCACAUCGCCCGUAGCCUCCAUCACUGCCUCCACCUCCAUAACCUCCCUCACGGCGUCCGCCACGGAAUCCACCGCCUCCACCUCCAUAACCUCCCUCUCAUUUCACGAUGGAAACUAACACAAAAUACAGGUCAAUAGAAAGGUUUCGAGAUCCACUUUUGCCUUGUGCACGUGCAGUAUCCUAUUCAGAUUUAUCCAAAUCCCCCAAUUGACAUGUAAAACUCUUCAAAAUCCUGUGGAGGCGCUGGUUGAAAAAAUUGUCCUCGAAGAUGACCUAUUUGAACAAGGGGUGACUAACUCCAGUUAAAAUAAUUUCAUUUAGCUGCAAUUCAACAAUAAUGGCUGCUCUCACUCCUCUUCUCCCUAAGAUUCCCUCUUUUCUCGAGCUUUUCAAAUGGUAAUGGUAAUGGUAAAUCAGUAAAGAAUAUCAUUAUUCAUCAGUAAAUGUAUGUCAUUAUUCAUCAGUAAAUGUAUGUUAAAUAAAUGAUUGGACUCAUUUGCAACUUUAAUAAAAAUUUUGGGAUUCAUUUGCACUUUUAAAAAGUUAAGGAGUAUGUUAGCAAUUUCUGCUUUAUUUUUCUUUUCUUUUCUUUUUUUUUUCUUUUGUUUUGCUUAAGAAUAAGGGUAUAUUAGUCAUUUUACGCCACAAAACAGUGAAAAUGACUUUUUUGCAAAGAAAGGCGUAAGACAGGGGUGAAAAUGCCAAAAAAUGAAAGGUAGGGACGUUUUCCACAAUCAACUUGAAGGGUGGGGACGUUUUGUGCCAAUUACCCUUGUUGUGACAGAUGGGCGAUUCCUCUUGGCAUUAUAGCUGCAAUUUUGGUGCUUUACUAGCGAUUCUUUGGAAGGAGGAAACACGGUUCUCAUUCAUUGUUACCCAUGUACAAUAAUCAGAAAGAUGGACGAAGAUCAGAAUGAUCAAACUUGCAUUACAUCGACCAUGUACUCCUCUAAAAGUCAAUCUCGAUGGGCUUCUAUUUUUAUACUCAGAGCUCUGCUGGUUUUAAUGUGAAAUAUCUCCUCUUACUUCCAUACACCCUUUCACCCGAAAAUUUGAAGUUUUGAGAAAAAUUUGGAGCCCCAGUGAAUGGUGUUGUGAACUUAUAUCUAGUCAGGACUUUCAAUAAUACAGAGCUAUAUAUAUGUUCUGUGGAUAUCAAGGCAGAAAAAACAGUUUUUGAGACUUGAAAUUGAUCAGAAUAUAGAAACAUGCUUUGAGUUACACUCGUUUGUUUCAUUUUUUCAGCCCAAUUUUUGCAGGUGCUGCUUAAAGUUUUCACAAAAAUAGUGUGUUU